GUUGUAAUUGCUAGAUCAUGUGGUAAGAGUUUAGUUUUGUAAGACAUCACCAACUGUCUUCCAAAAUGGCUAUACUAUUUUGCAUUCCCACUAGCAAC
RNAcentral lists this microRNA precursor (98 nucleotides) under Marmota monax (woodchuck). The record is from RNAcentral. Lineage: Eukaryota; Metazoa; Chordata; Mammalia; Rodentia; Sciuridae.